GCUGCCUGGGAAUCACGCUCCUUCCUGCUCUUUCCAAAAAGCCAGGUGCCGCCGGCCAGCAUCCCGCUCCCUUUGACCCGCAGUCUGUGCGGGAAGUAGGCCCGGAGUGGUGCCAGCAGGAGGUGGCCUUAGAAAGGCGGAGACCCAAGGAGCAGAGUGAGUCGGCGUCCAGCUCCACCUGAAAGCGCCAUCUUGUCGCCACUUCCCUCAGGAGCAGCAUGCCCAGCCUCUUGCAUAGGAAGAAGUGGUAAGCUAAGGAGAGAAAUGCAGGGUUCCUAGUACACCAAUUUUCCAACUUUUUCAUCUUGGCCCUGCUUUAAAAUGAUGCAUCUACUGUCUUCAUGCCUCAGCACAGCAGAGAAAACCAUGCUGUGUUCCAGUUUACUUUGAAUGUUUCAGUGAAAAUGAUGAAGCUGAAAAAAUGACGGAGGCCCGUUUUACAUUGCAUUUCUCAGAGUCAUCGCCUCUGCUGCAGAUGGAACAACAGCCAUGGAGAAUGAGGGUCACCUGAAUGUGGAAAAGUUGAGUUGGAGCAAAACUGGCACGGCCAUACUGGAUGGACCUCAGCAUGACCAGGACACAUUUCAGCUCAAAUCCCCUGUGCCAAGAACACAUUCUGCCAAGGACCACCACCUCUUCCCACAACUAGAGCUGGCUUACCAGAGCACCGAUGGACUUGGAUACCUGAGAUAUCUGCUUGGGAUCCCACACUUUCAAGGUCUCUCCUCUGGCCUUCUUCUGGUUCUGCGACUCCUUACAGCGCUGGGAGUUGGUGAUGCCAACAGGACAUA
RNAcentral lists this long non-coding RNA (791 nucleotides) under Homo sapiens (human). RNAcentral's name for it is "non-protein coding LINC01501:4". Lineage: Eukaryota; Metazoa; Chordata; Mammalia; Primates; Hominidae. The record is from RNAcentral.